AGAGCAUCUUCGGAUGGAGGAGGAAGUUACUUACACACUUCUCCAUUGAACGAUGCUCCCC
Molecule: microRNA precursor, 61 nt
Filed under: Canis lupus familiaris (dog)
Lineage: Eukaryota; Metazoa; Chordata; Mammalia; Carnivora; Canidae
Description: Cfa-Novel-3_pre stem-loop
Source: RNAcentral